Molecule: ribosomal RNA, 426 nt
Filed under: uncultured bacterium
Lineage: Bacteria
Description: partial 16S ribosomal RNA
Rfam family: Bacterial small subunit ribosomal RNA
Source: RNAcentral
GUGAGGAAUUUUCCACAAUGGGCGAAAGCCUGACGGAGCAAUGCCGCGUGAAGGAUGAAGGCCUAUGGGUUGUAAACUUCUUUUCUCAGAAAAGAAUUAUGACGGUAUCUGAGGAAUAAGCAUCGGCUAACUCUGUGCCAGCAGCCGCGGUAAGACAGAGGAUGCAAGCGUUAUCCGGAAUGAUUGGGCGUAAAGCGUCUGUAGGUUGUUUAAAAAGUAUUCUGUCAAAGAUUAGGGCUUAACCCUAGAUAGGCAGAAUAAACUUUUAAGCUAGAGUUUGGUAGAGGCAGAGGGAAUUCCCGGUGGAGCGGUGAAAUGCGUAGAUAUCGGGAGGAACACCAAAGGCGAAGGCACUCUGCUGGGCCAAUACUAACACUGAGAGACGAAAGCGAGGGGAGCAAAUGGGAUUAGAUACCCUGGUAGUCC